This 460-nucleotide ribosomal RNA is filed under the name uncultured bacterium. RNAcentral describes it as "partial 16S ribosomal RNA". It matches the Rfam family "Bacterial small subunit ribosomal RNA", at positions 338 to 795 of the family's 1533-position model. The record is from RNAcentral.
ACUACGGGAGGCUGCAGUGAGGAAUAUUGGUCAAUGGACGAGAGUCUGAACCAGCCAAGUAGCGUGAAGGAUGAAUGCCCUAUGGGUUGUAAACUUCGUUUAUAAAGGAAUAAAACGAGGCACGUGUGCCUUUUUGCAUGUACUUUAUGAUUAAGGAUCGGCUAACUCCGUGCCAGCAGCCGCGGUAAUAGGGGGGAUACGAGCGUUAUCCGGAUUUAUUGGGUUUAAAGGGAGCGUAGAUGGGUUGUUAAGUCAGUUGUGAAAGGUUGCGGCUCAACCGUAAAAUUGCAAUUGAUACUGGCAGUCUUGAGUACAGUUGAGGUAGGCGGAAUUCGUGGUGUAGCGGUGAAAUGCUUAGAUAUCACGAAGAACCCCGAUUGCGAAGGCAGCUUACUAAACUGUGACUGACAUUGAUGCUCGAAAGUGUGGGUAGCAAACAGGAUUAGAUACCCCUGUAGUC